AGGCAGCAGUGGGGAAUAUUGGCAAUGGGCSCAAGCCUGAUCCAGCCAURCCGCGUGAGUGAAGAAGGCCUUCGGGUUGUAAAGCCCUUUUGNNNGGAAAGAAAAGCANUNGGUUAAUACCCNGGUGUUMUGACGGUACCNAAAGAAUAAGCACCGGCUAACUUCGUGCCAGCAGCCGCGGUAAUACGAAGGGUGCAAGCGUUACUCGGAAUUACUGGGCGUAAAGCGUGCGUAGGCGGUGGUUUAAGUCCGAUGUGAAAGCCCUGGGCUCAACCUGGGAACUGCAUUGGANACUGGAUCRCUAGAGUGUGGUAGAGGRUAGUGGAAUUNCCWGUGUAGCAGYGAAAUGCGUAGAUAUCGGAAGGAACACCUGUGGCGAAGGCGACUMYCUGGACCARCACUGACACUGAGGCKCGAAAGCGKGGGAGCAAACAGGAUUAGAUAC
This 445-nucleotide ribosomal RNA is filed under the name uncultured bacterium. RNAcentral's name for it is "partial 16S ribosomal RNA". It matches the Rfam family "Bacterial small subunit ribosomal RNA", at positions 346 to 785 of the family's 1533-position model. The record is from RNAcentral.